AGAACGAACGCUGGCGGCAUGCCUAACACAUGCAAGUCGAACGAGACCUUCGGGUCUAGUGGCGCACGGGUGCGUAACGCGUGGGAAUCUGCCCUUGGGUUCGGAAUAACAGUUGGAAACGACUGCUAAUACCGGAUGAUGACGUUAAGUCCAAAGAUUUAUCGCCCAGGGAUGAGCCCGCGUAGGAUUAGCUAGUUGGUGAGGUAAAGGCUCACCAAGGCGACGAUCCUUAGCUGGUCUGAGAGGAUGAUCAGUCACACUGGAACUGAGACACGGUCCAGACUCCUACGGGAGGCAGCAGUGGGGAAUAUUGGACAAUGGGCGAAAGCCUGAUCCAGCCAUGCCGCGUGUGUGAAGAAGGUCUUCGGAUUGUAAAGCACUUUAAGUUGGAGGAAGGCAGUAAGCGAAUACCUUGCUGUUUUGACGUUACCGACAGAAUAAGCACCGGCUAACUCUGUGCCAGCAGCCGC
Molecule: ribosomal RNA, 470 nt
Filed under: uncultured soil bacterium
Lineage: Bacteria
Description: bacterial SSU rRNA
Rfam family: Bacterial small subunit ribosomal RNA
Source: RNAcentral